UGUCCGGCCUCUAUAGCAAGUCUACAUGAAGACUGGUGCAGAUCAGGAUCCUUGAAAGUGCUAGCUUGUAAGGAACUCGUAGGCUGAUUUCUUCUUUCUUUUUCAAGGGCCUUGGAUGCUCCAAAGGAGGAAAAGAUCUAGAGGAGGAAGAGAGGAAGAGGAGGAGAAGCUCUACAAACAAAAACACCAGCAAGGAAACGAAGAUGUGACGCCA
RNAcentral lists this long non-coding RNA (214 nucleotides) under Elaeis guineensis (African oil palm). RNAcentral describes it as "long non-coding RNA (EGUI_LNC017851)". The record is from RNAcentral. Lineage: Eukaryota; Viridiplantae; Streptophyta; Magnoliopsida; Arecales; Arecaceae.